GCCUCAGAACAAAGGAGGUUGUCUCCUGGGGAAGAGCAGGUGCUAGGGGGCUGAAACAGCAGGCCCACGUCCAACAUCACUCUCUCUGGGAACCCUUCCCUUUUGAGGCAUAGCCGCCUCGUUUCCAAAGUAGACCUGGAUACCAUGACGAUAAAAAGCUGGACACACUGCCUCGGUGCAGAUCUGCUGGCUGUGUGAUCUUGGCUAGAGAUGGUCAUGUAAUCCAGUUCUGGUCAAAGACACGCCUGGACUCUGCAGAACCUCUGUUCUUCUUAGUAAAUGAGGAGCCCCUACUUUCUGCCUCGAACACAGCGUCCGAAGACAUGAUGAUCCAAGCUGUGGUAGCCUCUUGACUGUGAGGGGAUAUGUCUGGACUCUUCAAGGAAAUACAUUGAGGACAGCAGAAUAAAGAGAAAGAGAGAGUUUGAUGCUAACUUCAAGUCAUUGGACCAACCUGGGAUUGACUGCCGGCCUGCAGAUAUCUAGUAUAAGAUGUUGGCUGUGUGCCAUGGCCCAUGCCUGUAAUCCCAGCACUUUGGGUUGGGAGACCGAGGCAGGUGGAUCACGAGGUCAAGAGAUCGAGACCAUCCUGGCCAACAAGGUGAAACCCUGUCUCUACUAAAAUACAAAAUAUUAGCCAAGCAUGGUCACGUGGGCCUGUAGUCCCAGCUACUCGGGAAGCUGAGGCAGAGGAAUCGCUUGAACCCAGGAGGCGGAGGUUGCAGUGAGCCGAGAUCACAGCACUGCACUCCAGCCUGGCAACAGAGCAAGACUCUGUUUAAAAAAAAAAGAUGUCUUGAUUGUAUAGGCCUCUGUUAGCUGGUUAAUCCUAUUUGCUUACAGCAGAAUGCAUCCCAAUGAAUACAACAGGUAUACGUGCAAUGAAAGAGAGUUCAGUCCUAGGGAGACUGCAAGGGGGAAAAAGUAGGCUCUGGGGUAAAAUAAUUAAAUAAUUCUUCCUUUCAUGGUGGUCAUGAAAUGGUAGCUAACAUUUAUUUGCUUUGUGUUUUUUUUUUUUUCUUUGUGAAGCACCUGUCUGCUAUUGGUGCUAUAUGUUUUUGAAAAUUCAUUUUUACCUCUCCAAGCCCAUUUCCUCACUGGAUUCAUGGAAAGAUGAAGGAGAGACUGCAUGUGAAAAGGGUGGACAUACUUUCUGUCUGGCUGGCUGCCUGUCUUGUUCACUGCACUUUCCCAGCACUAGAUAAAGUUUUUUUUAUUUUGUUGUUUUAUUUUUAGAGACAGGGUCCCACCAUGUCAUCAAGGUUGGAGUGCAGUGGCACAAUCACAGCUCACUGUAACCUCAAAUUCCUGGGCUUAAGUGAUCCUCUCGCCUCAGCCACCUGUGUGGCUGAGACUACAGGGACACACUACCACUCCAGGCUAUUUUUUAAAAUUUUUUGUCAAGACAAGAUCUCGAUAUGUUACCCCAGCUGGUCUCUAACUCCUGGCUUCAAGCAAUCCCUCCCACCUCAGCCUCUCAAAGCACUGGGAUUACAGGCAUGAGCCAUCCCUAGUUAAAAUUUGGUAAAGAAUAAAGCUCUUUCCCUCCGGCUUAUAAAAUCAGGACUCAGUAGUUAUUGCCAAAUGUGCCCCAUUGGUUAAUUUGGAUCUUUCCCCAUUCCUUGCAUGUCCAUUGGCCAUUCGGGCUUCAUUCCUAGAAUAUAUAUUUUUUGGGGGAGAUGGGGUGGUGGGGAUGGAGUGUUGGUCUGUCACCCAAGCUGGAGUGCAGUGGUGUGAUCUCGGCUGACUGCAACCUCCGCCCCCUGGGUUCAAGCAAUUCUCCUGCCUCAGCCUCCCAAAUAGCUGGGACUACAGGUGCCCACCACCACGCCCGGCUCAUUUUCGUGUUUUUAGAAGAGACGGGGUUUCACCAUGUUGGCCAGGCUGGUCUCAAACUCCUGACCUCAGGUGAUCUGCCUGCCUCGGCCACCACACCCGGCCCACUCUUAGAAUAUUUAAUGAAGAUUAUCUUGAUAAAUGUUAUCAAAACAUUCAAUUGACAAACACCAAAUCAGUGUUUUUAUUUAUUUAUUUAUUUUUUGCUUGUUCCAAAGUACUUUCUGUAUAUAUGAUUGCACUGCCUAAGUGUUGUUCUCUCUUUGCAUAUGAGAAAACGAAAGCUUAGAGAGGUCAACUGACUUUCCCAAGGUCAUUUGCUGAUAAUAGAAUCAAAGGACAAGAGGCCAGGCUCUCUUGUGCUGAGCCCUGGCCUGGCUCCCCACUGCCUUGGGGUGGUGGGGUAGGGCCUAGUGGGGAGGUGAUGCUGAAGGUGGUGUGGGUGAUGGAUGGCAGUGCCGCAGGGCUCUUCUUUAAGGAGGCCCACCCCUGCCUUUCACUUCCUGCUCCAGCUCCACAUGCCCUGUCAUUUAAGCCUCAGCACUUUGAGAGGCCUCGAAGGCCGACCCCGUGACUCCCCCAGAAAUGCCUGUGCUUCCUUCCCUGUCAUCUCAAUGCAGAGAGCGCUCACCUCAGCAAGUUCAGACUGUGCAGGCUCGGGAGGACCUUCCGCUCAGCCAGGAGCAUGGCUGGUUUGUCUCUGGAUCCUCAGCACGCAGCGGGCAGCCCAGAGCUGGGCAGGGCGUUGCUGCUCCAUGCGCUCUGCACUGACUUGAUGACGUAGAGAGAGAGAAGGCCGCCUGUUUCCCAGGUGGAGAAACUGCAUGGGGAGAACAUUUUUUUCUUAGACACCUGGGGAAUGAAGCGUUAACUAAGGUGAUACAACUUGGAGUCCGGGAAAGGGGAUUUGGGCAGAGGCUGUGGAGGGGCCUGUGGGGUGGAGAAGGCUGCAAUGAUCCCAGGUCCCCAGGAAAGAGUGGAUCCACCUGUGUGCAGACUUUCCCCACCCUAGGAAAACAGGAUGCAGGCCUUACCUCCUGUCUUUGAGCCAAAAGGAGGGAGAGCCACCACCUGAGUGUCCCAUAUGAGACUGCUUUGCCCCAGGAAGGGGGAAAAUCCUAUGUCACUGCCAAGAAGGUCCAGCUAGCUUCAGUAGAGAAAUCAUGACAUCCAGUGGACAUAUGUGUCAUCCCCAGGCUCAGGCAAUGGCCUCCAGCCAGGAGGCCUUCUAGGGCUGGGCCAACAAGGCACUGUGGAGUGAGCGCUGGGAGGCUGAGUCUGAAUCCUGAUUUUGCCUCUUAGCUACGUGACUUGGAUGAGGACCCUGAGGCUCAUGGAAGUUACAGAACUCACCUGGGGCCAGUCAACCACUCAGCAGCAGGGCCGGGUCUGCCCCAGGUCUGUGUAGUGUCAACGUCCUCACUCUUGGCCACUCUGUGAUUCUAGGAGAGAAGCCAUGCUGUAAAAGAUUCCAGGUCAUGCCUUGACAGGUUACAGUGACCACAUCCAGGAGAUCUUUAAGGCCUUAAUUGUGCCCUUCAGUUCCUGUCAUCAUCAUUAUCAUUAUCUCCACCACCACCAUCAUCAUCAUCUACAUGCCUGAAACUGGCGUAUUCUUAUGCCAUGAACUGUAAAAUAUUUCAUUUAUUUUCCCUACUUUAACCAGCCUUGUGACCUUGUUCAAGUAACCCCACCUCUCUAAGCCUCAGUGUUCUCAUGCAUGAAAUGGGGCCUGUAAAUUCCAUUUGCAAAAGGACAGUGAGCUGUUGUUUUCAUCCCCAAUCCCUCUCCUCCCUGAACUCCCUCCCUGAACUCCCUCUCCUUCCUCCGUGAAGUGCCCUCCGCCCCCAGGGCCUGGAUUCCGGCCACCAGCUCUCCUGCCCCGGCUUUUAACGUUGGUCCCUGCAACAGGCCAGAACAUCUGCCUGUGAACGCCAUGGAACUCUGCCCCUGCGCUGGGGUCCUGCCAGCAAAGAGUUUAAACAAACAGAACUGGGCAGAAACGAGAUGGUCCGCCGGUUGUAAAGGGUCGCACCUCAUGCGCACACGCUCGGGUUUCAUGAUAAUCCGAGUGAUGGUUCUCCUGAGGAGGAUUAGGAAGAAAACGUUAGGGGGCUCUGCGGGGAGCAAGAAAAAGUGGUUGUGUACCCAAGACAAACACUGCCAAGAAAGUGGCCUUUGCUGACCAAUAAACCAAAGUGUGGGAGGGGGUGGGAUUGGGGUACUGGAGGAAAGGAAAAUUUGGGGCUCUGUCCAACUCUUCUAGUGCCUAAGUCAGACCUUCACCAGCAGAAGACCGUUCCACUGAAUGUGUGGAGAGAGAUUACAGCAACCCCAAACCACUGUGGUCAGAGGCUGGCGGGAGCUCCUGCAUGUGGGGGAGGAGCAGCAAGCCCAUGUGCCCUCCAGAGCCAGGCAGGCUCCCUGGGGGGAUGGAAGAUAAAAACAGCGGCAACGGGCAAAAACGGAGGUGAGGAAAAUGGACCAAGCAGGCAGAACAGAGCCAAACCAGAAAACGCCGGCCAAGCUUUCCCUUACUUGCUGUGUCAGAAUGGCCCUUCAGGGAUGAUUGGCACAAGCUGACAUCAAAUUGACAAGAAAAGAUUGGGCAGUGGCCUGAAGAGUGG
RNAcentral lists this long non-coding RNA (4463 nucleotides) under Homo sapiens (human). Its description in RNAcentral is "HSALNT0097768". Lineage: Eukaryota; Metazoa; Chordata; Mammalia; Primates; Hominidae. The record is from RNAcentral.